UACGUAGGGUGCGAGCGUUGUCCGGAAUUAUUGGGCGUAAAGAGCUUGUAGGUGGUUUGUCGCGUCUGCUGUGAAAAUCCGAGGCUCAACCUCGGACUUGCAGUGGGUACGGGCAGACUAGAGUGUGGUAGGGGAGACUGGAAUUCCUGGUGUAGCGGUGGAAUGCGCAGAUAUCGGGAAGAACACCCGUGGCGAAGGCGGCUCUCUGGGACGGUACUGACGCUGAGACGCGAAAGCGUGGGGAGCGAACAGG
RNAcentral lists this ribosomal RNA (253 nucleotides) under uncultured bacterium. RNAcentral describes it as "partial 16S ribosomal RNA". It matches the Rfam family "Bacterial small subunit ribosomal RNA", at positions 524 to 776 of the family's 1533-position model. The record is from RNAcentral.